UACAGAGGGUGCAAGCGUUAAUCGGAUUUACUGGGCGUAAAGCGUGCGUAGGCGGUUCAGUAUGUCGGUCGUGAAAUCCCCGGGCUCAACCUGGGAACUGCGGCCGAAACUGCUGGGCUAGAGUGUGGGAGAGGGCGGUGGAAUUCCGGGUGUAGCGGUGAAAUGCGUAGAUAUCAGGAGGAACAUCAAUGGCGAAGGCAGCCGCCUGGGCCACAACUGACGCUGAGGCACGAAAGCGUGGGGAGCAAACAGG
This 253-nucleotide ribosomal RNA is filed under the name uncultured bacterium. RNAcentral describes it as "partial 16S ribosomal RNA". It matches the Rfam family "Bacterial small subunit ribosomal RNA", at positions 524 to 776 of the family's 1533-position model. The record is from RNAcentral.